Molecule: long non-coding RNA, 1214 nt
Filed under: Homo sapiens (human)
Lineage: Eukaryota; Metazoa; Chordata; Mammalia; Primates; Hominidae
Description: CNTFR antisense RNA 1
Source: RNAcentral
GAGGGUGGCAGAGCCCAGCCACCAGGGUCUGCUCCAUGCCUGGUCCCUGGAGAGGCCCUCACCCUCUCUGCUUUCACCCAACCCGACUGACACGGAGUAGGAGGUGGGAAUCAUGCAGGCAGGGAGCUUAGGAAGCCUGGUUCAAGAUUGCUUUGAAUGGCAGGCCCCCUGCUGUGCUCCUGGGGAGAGAGCCUGAAACCUGGAUGCUCGGGAGCCCCUCAGAUCCGUCAUCUGUCCCCGACACCCCUGUGGUGAGCCUUGCCACUGGGCCCUGAGAAGCUCAGAGCAGUCGAGUCAGGGCAGUGGGACAUGACCCAGGUCAGAUGUGGCUUUUCCGUAAUUGUACACCAAUGAUCAAGAGAAAAUGAAGGAUUUUAAUAUCCAGGAAGAUCCUCCGCCUCAGUGCCAGGCCACUGCCCACCACAUGGGAGCAGGAACCAGGGCAUGGGCAGGCAGAAGAGCAGGCGGAGUGGCUGAGAUCCUGAAACUGAGGCUCAGAGAGCAGAAGCAGCUUGGCCAAAGUCAUACAACUGGUAGUUGGUAAAGGAGCUGGCCUUGAACUCAGGGAUAUCUUGAAAGCCACUGUUGCUUCUAUGGACUCUAGCCAUUCAAAAGACCCCUCACCUUCUAUAAGACCCCAGGAGAUCCUCAGGGUCCAACUGCUCCCUUGAAAACAGGUCCCAGAUAUAUCUGCCAAAGGUAUGAUUAGGUGCCUAAACACAUACCAUGAGAAAGGGAUUCCAUGUCUUCCAAUCCUGCCCAGAGAUGCAGAGACACCACCACCCAGGGAGAGAUAGCCAGAAACUAAAAUAAGAUGUUAGAGACAGGUGGUUGAUAGUGACAGAUACAGCCACACCAAGACAGGCUCAAAGGGAGGAAGACUGAGGGGAAGCCAGAGACAGAGAGGGACACAUUAGGCCAAAGAAUGAGAGAGAUAGCUGGAAAAGGAGACAAUAGGAGUAGAGGAGGGUACAGGCUGACAUGAAAAAACACCGACAGAUACACUCCAGUAUGCAGACAGACACAUAUAGACCCAUCUGACCUUCACAAGAAACAGACUGUGAAAGCAAGCAAGGCUCAGGCUGUGUGUGGUGUGCGUAUGUGUGUGUGCGUAUUGUGGGGGGAGCAUGCAGAGUCUGUAUAGCUACGCACAUUACACCAGCUGCUUCCAGCAAUUUCAUCUGAUUAAUAAUAAAUGCCCCAUAAUUACAGCC